UACGUAGGGGGCUAGCGUUGUCCGGAUUUAUUGGGCGUAAAGAGCGUGUAGGCGGCCAGGUAGGUCUGCUGUGAAAACUCGAGGCUCAACCUCGAGAUGUCGAUGGAAACCGUCUGGCUAGAGUCCGGAAGAGGAGUGUGGAAUUCCUGGUGUAGCGGUGAAAUGCGCAGAUAUCAGGAAGAACACCUAUGGCGAAGGCAGCACUCUGGGACGGUACUGACGCUGAGACGCGAAAGCGUGGGGAGCAAACAGG
RNAcentral lists this ribosomal RNA (253 nucleotides) under uncultured bacterium. Its description in RNAcentral is "partial 16S ribosomal RNA". It matches the Rfam family "Bacterial small subunit ribosomal RNA", at positions 524 to 776 of the family's 1533-position model. The record is from RNAcentral.